Platichthys flesus (European flounder) is the source of this 505-nucleotide long non-coding RNA. RefSeq lists it as uncharacterized. The transcript is spliced from 3 exons. NCBI's taxonomy places the organism in Eukaryota, Metazoa, Chordata, Actinopteri, Pleuronectiformes, Pleuronectidae. The record is from RefSeq and is a predicted model, not a curated record.
UGGCCGCUCGUUCAAGAUACCGGAGUAUGUUGUUGUCAUAAUGUGCGGGAAUAGAACGAUUAUUCAUUACCAGCCCUAGUUUGGGGAAAUGUGUCCUUGUACCCUUGUAUGCAUGACAGUAGUACAAACAUGAAUAACAUUGCUGCUUUUGGUUUUCAGGCAAGCACAUCUGUUCACGGUGCUAGGCUACAUCACGUAGCAUGCCAGACGGACCCACCAAAGAUGCGCACACAUGGAACGCAGCCUUCUAUGAAAACACUGCGACCUCACUACAAAAGUACAGGCACACAGAAAACUGUGCUGCACUGAUGUCGGUGUUGGGACCUCAGCUGUAAGAGACCUCGCUUGGAGGAGGGAGAGGACAAGAUGUGACAAUGGAAUCUUCCAACCCUGUUCAUAAGACACCCACAUAUAUUGUCUAUGAAAACUGCCUCCUGGAGCUGUUUGAGGUGUGUCCUGUGUGUCGGCUGGGGACAGAUGUAAUAUAUAAGAAGGGCGAGUGCAC